RNAcentral lists this ribosomal RNA (391 nucleotides) under Centruroides gracilis. RNAcentral describes it as "partial 16S ribosomal RNA". It matches the Rfam family "Archaeal large subunit ribosomal RNA", at positions 2023 to 2650 of the family's 2987-position model. The record is from RNAcentral. Lineage: Eukaryota; Metazoa; Arthropoda; Arachnida; Scorpiones; Buthidae.
UUGUGCAAAGGUAACAUAAUCAUUAGUCUUGUAAUUUAAGACUGGGAUGAAAGGAUAGACUAGAAAACGUCUUUCUUAAUUAUUUAUUUUUAAUUUUACUUUUUAGUAAAAAGGCUAAAAUAUUUCUUUUAGACAAGAAGACCCUAUAAAACUUUACAUAAAAAAGUUUAAUAAACUAUGGAUAUGUUUUGCUGGGGCGGCAGGAAGAUAAAACACUUUCAAAUUUUGAAAAUAUUAUUAUUUCAAUACCCAAAACUUUUGAAAAUUAAAUAAGUUACUUUAGGGAUAACAGCGUUAUAUAUUUUAAGAGCUCUAAUUGACAAAUAUGUUUGCGACCUCGAUGUUGGAUUAAAUUUCCUUUAUNGCGCAAGAGCAAUAAUAGGAGGNCGNC